AUUGAACGCUGGCGGCAUGCCUUACACAUGCAAGUCGAACGGUAACAGGUCUUCGGAUGCUGACGAGUGGCGAACGGGUGAGUAAUACAUCGGAACGUGCCUAGUAGUGGGGGAUAACUACUCGAAAGAGUGGCUAAUACCGCAUGAGAUCUACGGAUGAAAGCAGGGGAUCGCAAGACCUUGUGCUACUAGAGCGGCCGAUGGCAGAUUAGGUAGUUGGUGGGAUAAAAGCUUACCAAGCCGACGAUCUGUAGCUGGUCUGAGAGGACGAUCAGCCACACUGGGACUGAGACACGGCCCAGACUCCUACGGGGGGCAGCAGUGGGGAAUUUUGGACAAUGGGCGCAAGCCUGAUCCAGCAAUGCCGCGUGCAGGAUGAAGGCCUUCGGGUUGUAAACCGCUUUAGUACGGAACGAAAAGCCCUGGGUUAAUACCCUGGGGUCAUGACGGUACCGUAAGAAUAAGCACCGGCUAACUACGUGCCAGCCGCCGCAGUAA
Molecule: ribosomal RNA, 498 nt
Filed under: uncultured bacterium
Lineage: Bacteria
Description: partial 16S ribosomal RNA
Rfam family: Bacterial small subunit ribosomal RNA
Source: RNAcentral